UGCAUAGCAGGGCCAAAUGCUA
This 22-nucleotide non-coding RNA is filed under the name Arabidopsis thaliana (thale cress). Lineage: Eukaryota; Viridiplantae; Streptophyta; Magnoliopsida; Brassicales; Brassicaceae. The record is from RNAcentral.